RNAcentral lists this transfer RNA (73 nucleotides) under Trichophyton rubrum. RNAcentral's name for it is "tRNA-Asp". Lineage: Eukaryota; Fungi; Ascomycota; Eurotiomycetes; Onygenales; Arthrodermataceae. The record is from RNAcentral. RNAcentral also lists the same sequence under 15 other names.
GGGUUAGUAACUUAAUUGGCAAAGGAUUUUCUUGUCGAGAAAAUAGAUAUCGGAUCGUAGCCGAUUUAACCCG